UACGGAGGGAGCUAGCGUUGUUCGGAAUUACUGGGCGUAAAGGGCUCGUAGGCGGCCGACUAAGUCAGACGUGAAAUCCCUCGGCUUAACCGGGGAACUGCGUCUGAUACUGGACGGCUUGAGUUCGGGAGAGGGAUGCGGAAUUCCAGGUGUAGCGGUGAAAUGCGUAGAUAUCUGGAAGAACACCGGUGGCGAAGGCGGCGACCUGGUCCGAUACUGACGCUGAGGCGCGAAAGCGUGGGGAGCAAACAGG
RNAcentral lists this ribosomal RNA (253 nucleotides) under uncultured bacterium. RNAcentral's name for it is "partial 16S ribosomal RNA". It matches the Rfam family "Bacterial small subunit ribosomal RNA", at positions 524 to 776 of the family's 1533-position model. The record is from RNAcentral.